CAGAACCUCUCUUGUUACCUCUUAGGAAUGACCAUAAUUUAUAGCCUGCAAUGCCAAUGGGGGUCUCCCAGUGAACAUACAGCUACUCUGGGUGCAUUUCAGCGAGUCAUCUCGGGGCUAAAGACCUUCUCGUAUUUACCUUCUCGGGAAAACACAGAGUUCCUUGUUUGAGGAGAAUGAACAUCACUGAUAAGGAGUUCUGUAUUUACUGAACUGUGUGCUCCUUUUUCCUUCCAGGUAUCUACUGGUUUCCUGCCUUGACAGUUUGGUGCCAUUUCCUGAGACCUCCAAUUCUUCUCCCAGGUGCUGGUUCCAGCCUUGAGGUGACCAUGAGCAAAGCUGUCACUAUGGAGGCUCCCUCAUUCUAAAAAGAAGAAUUGUUUAUUUUUUCUGAAAAAACUCUCUAGGCCAUUCAUUUUAAGGCAAGGUAGGCUCUGGGCUCAGGAUCCUCUGGGCUAUAGACUUUAGAAUCUAGAAGCCCUGUAAUGGGGUAGGCAGGAAGAUGUAUCUCUGAACUUUGUGAACCUUGGUGAGAAGGUGAGGAGCUGAAGGCUCAUGGGUGACUAAAUGCUGCCAAAUCUGGAGGAAUCUGAGGGUCUCCAGGGAUUGUCAGUAUACUUAAGAGGCUUCCAUGUCCUCUGCUUUCUGAUAGAGAUAAACAUAUACAGAAGAAGCACUGAAGAAAGUUCAUUACGUUCAUCUUCAGGACCAGACAAUGGAAAGAAAGAUCUGGGGGCCAGCUCUGACCAGGGGGACAAAAGUCACCCAAGGUCACCCAAAGAGAGACACCUAGUCAUGGCAAAAUUUCUCUGAAGCAUUCAUCUUCUGUUCCUGCAUGGGUGUUAAAAACUCAAGUCCUGAUUUCUGUAAACUGGCAAACUCCCCACCCACUUGGUACCCAGGGCAGUGGCCUUUGGCUGGUGCUCUUACUGCUCUGGUGUUCAUUAAGUUCCUUCUACAUUUUGGGCCCCUGGAGAUUUCCCUUAAUUUUUUGGUGAGCUCACCUAUGCAUUUACAGGAAUGUUCGUUACGUAUAUCUAGUACUUCUAGCUGUUCUGUUGUGGGCAGUUUCUACGUAAUCACAUCCUCCAUAUUGCCAGAAAUGAAGUCUUUGGAAUCUAAUGUAAAGGGGAUGGAAAAAGAUCAACAAUGGACACCUUUUCUUGCUCUUAGCAGGGAGGGUCAGGCAUUGGUGAAGUCCUGAAUCAGGGUCUUCGAGGAAGCAGUACUUUCUCUCAGUCUUCUCCUCAGCAUGGAUAGAAGCAAAUCAUAUGAAGACCCUGCUUUGACAGUUCAGUUGCAGGUCCUUCUAGUUGUGGCAUGUGGGACGCCGCCUCAACGUGGCCUGACCAGUGGUGCCAUGUCCGCGCCCAGGAUCUGAACCAGCGAACCCUGGGCCACUGCAGCAGAGCAUGCGAACUUAACCACUUGGCCUCGGGGCCGGCCCCAUCCAAGUCGUUUUUAGGGCAUAUGUGAGCUUGUGACCAGAGGCAAAUGGCCAGAGCCACUGAUCCAACCGUGGAUGCCAGAAUGAUGUCCCAAGGCUCAAAUGGGGCCAUCGACACCUCAGGGAUGAGAUCCAACAACUUGCUCCGUGGUACAGACCAGUGAGGACCAGAGGAUGUCACUCAGGCAGGGUUAUGGCCCUUCAAUGCUUGUGAGUCUCACCUCUUCUGACUUUUGCUACUGGACUUGAUGGCGGCUCAGAAGAAUGCUGUGGAAGAAUUCUCAUAGGAAACCUGAAAAGCCUCCUGAGCUCUGAAGAGAUGCAUGGAGAAUUCCAUUUUACCGAGUCAAGAGGAUCAAUUAAAAUGCCACGUCUGCUAGGUUUAAGGUGAAAUAGAGCCCCUGGAGAUUCAGAAGGACCACUUCGAGAGUUUCUGCCUCAGGGAAACCUCCCAGAAUUGUAAACUGGUUGUUCAGGUGAUGAAAUUUGUCCAGAGUCUGUGCCACCCAGAUGCAAGAAAAUAAAUCCACAACUUUGGCCAAAUUGAUAAUGAGUAAUGAUUAACAAAAUGUUCUUUUUCCUGGCUGGACUCCCGGGAGAGAGACUUUGUUUCUCCCAGGUGGCUUAAAGAGGAGCUUGCCUUUGUGUGUUCUCCACAUUCCAGGAAAGAUGAAGGUAGAGCUAACGUCUCUCCUGCAGGCGAAGUUCCCUGUCCUAGGUGGUCUUUAUGGAUCAGGCUGCCUCCUAAUUACAUACUGAUCAUUUAAAAAGUGAAACUCCAGGGAGCGACGGGCCAGUGAGCAAUUCCUCUGACUCCUCAGAGCCAUCAGACUCACGUGGUAAGUCGUUACCUCCAUGAUAUCAUAUUUCAAGAGCUUCGGAACAUAACCUGGUGCUCCCUGCCUGAAGUCCCACAUGACAUUAGCCCCGACUGAAAUUGAGUCUACUGGAAGAAGUCACCUCUAAGCCUUAUCUGCUACCUAAAUUUUAGUAUGAAAGAUUUUUUACUUAAAAGGAAUACGUGGGGGAAAGCUGGGAAUAUCAAAUGUUAUUAGCAUUUCUUUCACGUUUGGCCCCACGCAAUUCGAAUGGACUUGUUUGUAGUUUAAUAAAUCAAUGUCUAUAAAGAAGCAAUGAGAUGAAAAGUGGCAAACAAGGUCCCAGUAACCACUAUUUUAAGGAAAUGCAGACCAUAAUGAUCAGCAGAGGGAGGGAGGAUAGGGGGCUAUUGACAAGGCCGACUGAGAAAUGACAAAUAAUCCUUUACAUAGAGAGGUUUGCUUAGAAAUGAAUGGUCUGUCUGGGAUUCUUGUAAAGUUACAGGAAUUAUACCAAAUAUGACCCAAGUUUCACUGGAAAUGGUUUAUGGAUCAGAGAAGUAUGUUUGGAGAGACAGUUGAAGAAAAUUCAGUGAAAGCUAUGAAAUGUAAACGAAGUCUAAGAGUCUGGAGCCUUCCAUGAAUGCCUGUGAGGAGUCUUUCCCAAGCAGAAUUCUUUUGGGAAUGUAAUUCUGGAUUCCCGUUUUCGUCACUUGACGCUUAAUAUGUGCCUUUCUCUUCUGGGUGAGUUGGGCAUAUGCAUACUUAACAUCUCCCCUCGUUCUCCAUAUUGCUUAGCAGAAUGCAAGAGUUUCACAGACAGAGGUUGGAAGGAAGGAAGGAAGAAUGAAAGAGAAGGAUAAGGAAAAGACAUAGGGGAAAACAUGGAAGGAGGGAAGAGAAAGAAAGAAAAAGAAGCAAGUCCUACUAGAGCCUAGAAAAUAGAAUGCAGACAGAAAUAGAGGCUUUGUUUAUUCUGCUUCACAGUCAGGCUGUAGCCAGGACUGAUAUCUGCCUUCCUGUCCUGGGAGCGGGGUGAUCUUGCUUAUCUGAGCUUGGGAUACAACCAGUAAUGGGAUUCUAGAAUGAGCAGUGCCCACACGGCUCCCUAGGAAGACCAGUCAAAUUGAGUGAAUCUUAGAGAGGUAAAGAAAGAGAAAAUGAGGAGAGAAAGAGGAGGCCCAGGAGGUGUUAUGUGGGGAAGAACGAGGCAAGUGCGUUUAUUUCCAAUACACAGUAAAUGUUUUGCAGGUUGUGCAAGCUAAUAGUCGACACAUGAGGUUGGUCUUGGAUAGAGCAGGUAGUCAAUAAACAGUCCCUGGAAACUGGGGGUGGGCAGAGAAGUAGGUGCUAAAAGAUUUAAGGGAUUAAAUUAUUUUCAAGCAUAUUAGAAGUAUUUAGGUUUCAAAUUGAUGUGCCGAUUAUAAAUAAUUUUAUUUUUUUGGUGAAGCAGGUCCCCAAGGGUCUUGCUAGUCACAUGUGUUUUUGUCCCACUGUGGUCAUUUUAUGGACCACUUCCAAAUUCAAGAUGCUAAAGUAUUUUCUUCUUGUGAAUUGGAGGCCAAGCCAGAGGCUUGUCUCCCUGUGGGCUUCAUGCUUCUGCGAGGGGCCACCUUUUCCUCUUCCUGCUUCCCCACACCCCAUUUCUGCGACCAUUCUCAUUCAGCAAGGACGGGGACCACCAUAUGAAAUGUGGACAACUGUGAGUGUCUGCUGAUGUUCACUGAAGACCUAGACUUCUGCUACUGCCUUCACCCCAAAUCUCCCCCUAGAAUUCCCUCUCUGCUUUCUGGGGUCCCAAUUUCACUGCAGGGAGUUCUGCAGACAACAGCGGCUGGAACGGAAGAGAAUGAAGGAGUCCCAGCAGCUACUCUGUGACGUCCUGAGAUGGAACUUGGGGUGUUUUAAUUUCAAAAGCAGAGUUGAAAGUGGUGAUGAGAUUUCACGGUACCAUUAGUGUGGUACUAGACUUGAGGCACAAAAUGAGUUAAGGAGGCAUCUGGAAGCUGGCUCAGAAUUCAACCACAAUGUUUCUAUGACAAAUUGGCUACUAAUUUGCCAAUAACCAACUUAGAAAUGACUAUUAGAAUCAAGACAUAUCCACUGAGAACUAACAGAACUAAUACGGUCUAACUAUUUCAGAUUUUGCACAAAACUCAGAUGGAUCUAACUUGUCUGAAUUAGGGUCUUCAGGUAAAGUAGAUUGAAUACAUCCUAUUUCAGUGGGCUUGCCCUCAUUACAGGCUGAUUUGCCCACAGGGAAAUAGGCAAUAAAGUCUGAUACUCUGAUGGUACUAACACUUUCUGGAUGUUUGUAGAAGGAGCAACCUUGGUCCAAGUGAACAAGAAAAGAGGAAGUUCCCAAACCACUUGCAAAGGGUUGAGGCCGAAGAACAGAUGUCUCUGGGCUGCCCAGACGUCGGCCGCAUGGCCCAGCAGUGCUGCCGCUGCCGAAACCCCAAGUCUGCAAGUCAGGGUGGUCUGGAAGUGAAGGAUUGUUUUCCUGAGAGUGGUUUCAAGAAUGCAACUCCUCACCUAAUAAAAAGAAUGUGCAAUGAUUAACUGAGUCUAAUAUUAGCAUCUGCAAAAUAAAGAGCAAUUGGGCCUGCUAUUAAAGAACAAACCUUGCAUGCACCCGCUGCCAGGUAAAAUCUGUUCUUUCUCAGUCAUAAAUCUUUCUUGGACGCCAGAGAAGAAUUUCACUUCCGUCAGAAACACUGGGUGAACCGAAGAAAAAGAACAUGCUGUUUUGGAGAUGAAAGCGACUUGAGUUUAAAGGUCUUGGUGCCUUUUCUGUCUGUUUUGCUUGCUUUCUCUGUGGUGUCCUUGACUUGGCCAUGCCUUGCAUUGUUUGUUGGAUGAUGAGGCAGCAGUGGGAAAAGGUCAGGAUGGGUCAUUUGCUUCAGGCUGUAGCUUCAGGCAGAGAACUAGCAUCUGACAUCGAAUCUCACUGUUCUCCAGGGUGGACCCUUGGUGAAACAUCUUUGAACACCGAACCCUUGAUAAUUGUGAAGAAUACAUUAAGAGACUUUAGGAUUUUCCUAAACUUGAGAACUCCAUCCACUAAUUGAGAUGCAGAAGUUGAAUUGAUUUGUUCAUCAAAUAAGGUUACCACUCUUGCUGAACCAGAGACUCAAAUUGGUAGUUGCCACUUUACUUGUAUUACCUAAUCUGACUUCAUGAAACGCUUUGAUGUAAGGCAGUGGUUUUCAAAGUAUGGGCCUCACAAUACCAGCAUCACCCGAGAACUUGCUAGAAAUGUACAUCCUUGGGUCCCAUUCCAGACUUACUGGGCCAGCAAUCUCCCUCUUCAGUAAGUCCUCCAAGUGUUUCUGAUGGACGCUAAAGUUUGGGAACCACUAAUGUAGGAAACAUUAUCACCAUAAAACAUAUUAUAUGCUGUGAUGUCUUGGAACUUUGAAGUCUCUCUUAUAGCUAAAACUUUAAAUUCUAGCUUUCCAAGGAUCUUCAGUACCAUGCGUGCAGUAGGCAGUCAAUAAAUGUUCCCUAUAGAUGCUGUGUCUCUGAGAUAGUAAUCAUCUUUUAUUUUCCUCUUUUCCUCCCUUCCCUCCUUGCUCCCUCCCUUCCUACUUUCUUCCCUUUCUGCCUUCUUUCCUUCUCCUUCUUUUCUUUUUUGUCUGCCCUGUAUCACUUUGGGGAGCAUCUCUUCCCCUUUACAUAUAUUUUAGAUGGUGCUGAUAAUCAAGUGGGUCUGAUCUCACCUACCACUCAGUGUCCACUUCACCCAGGCUGGCCAAUCAAAGUGCUCCACUCUCUGGACACAGUAAUUGGUCCAGAGGUCCUAGCAGGGCCACUGAGAGCCUUUGGGUUGGGGAGAUCAAUAUGAACUUUAUGAAGGAAAGACUGUCUAUUCCCGACUUUGUGAGCACCAAGAAACCAGGUGAACUUGGAACUUCUUGGGGGCUCAUCUUCCUCCACAUGCAGAUGGUCUGCCUGGGAAUGAAGCCAUCUCAGAGGAAGGCAAAGCCAAGUUCUGGACGGAGAGAGGGCAGGGAGUUGAUGUCACCUUUUGAACCCAGAGCUUCACCAUGCCUUGAAGUCAGAAUCCGCUCUCUCCUUGGACGUCAUAUUCAAUUCAACGUUCCCUGGGAAUACCUUAAUCUGGGAUCCUGGGGACAUUCCUAUUAAUGAUUUUGUACUUAUUGAAAAAGUAGGAGAUACACAUACAAAUUGGUACCUAGUAGACUGUGUCAUUUAGAAAGUUAAAGUCCCUUGUGAUGAUAACCACUACUUCCCUGAAAAUCACUGUAUGUAGUUUUGUGCAUAUUCCUUUAGAUUUUUCUGUCAGUAUACUAAUAAAUUGCGAUGUUAACUGAGAAUUUUCUUGAUGCCGCAGUUUUUCUAGAAGCCAAUAAAAUCAAGGAUAAAGCAAUAGGUUCUAACACCUACAUUCUAGAGUGAGCUUGUUGGACUGUUCAUGCAGGAUUUGUAAAGCGAGUGAUCCAGGCCUGCCAUUAUUAGCUCAUAUAAGAGGUUAUAUUAAAAAAAGCCUAUGAAUUCAUGAGGGCAUUGACAAGGCCAAUAGGAGCACAUCUGUAGAGAACAUUCUCAGCAUGGCGAGGGCCACCCCCAUCCUGACAUAGGGGCAGAGAAAACUUCCCUUUCACCCUAAGCCAAGUAGGGGAGGUGACUUCAAGAAAAUCACUCAGGGGAUGUCUUAUGCAUCCACUGGAAUUUGGGUAUGUGGUACCUGGUACCUCAUUCAUCCUUUAUUGCUACCCACAGGGCAGCAGAGGGAAGAGAUGAGACUGAACUCAUAAUUUGAUUUAAUCUGACUUGAUUUCCUCUCUGACUGUCUGCCAACUGUUUCCAAUUUGGAACGGUUACAAAAUGUGAAAUUAUUCUGGCAGAAUGCAUCUAUCUGGUUUGGUUGACCCUUGGAAAACCUUCCUCCAUCAUAUCCAAUCAUGGAUUUCUCCUCCAAACCCAUGACCUUUCUUUUACACUCUCCUGAGUCAUUCUUCCCAACCUGGGUCCCCGCCACUCAACAGACUCAGGCACCACACAGUGAGGUGGUUAUUAUUGUGUGAAGUUAUUUCGUAGGGCCAGUUACACUGGUCAUACACACAAUGACUUUAGAUAUGUGUGCACAGACAGUGGCAUUCUUUACAAUAAUUUCCAGGUCUAUGUCCCAAUUAACACCAGAAAUUUCUGGAACUAUAAUUCUUUUUCUGGACUCUCUAUAUACCUUUCCAUCCCCAGUUUCUUCUCCAUGUACCCAAAUAAACUCCACUGCAUAAAGUUCUUGAAUUCUGCUUAUGGGAUCUCCCCUCACUGAAUCCCCUCUUUUCUGUGCAUCUAGCUAUUAGGUUCUACUCCCUUAUAGACGCUGUAAGAAUAUUGUUUAUAAUAACCAUUUAUUAAUUUUAAAUAAGUGCACUUUUGCCACAUUAUCCCAUCUCUUACUCAUAAAAUCCUUCUGAGGUAACUCUGUCUCCAUUUUGAAGAUGGAAAAAGAGAGGCUCGGAGGGAUUGAAUGAUUUGCCCAGUGUCACACAGCAAGUAAGUAGUGGAGGUAGGACAAGGACUCAGAUUUUCCUUCCUUGUAAGAUCUAUCUUCUUUUCCUUACGACCCCAUCUCCUCACUGCCUACUCUCUGAAGCCACAGGAUUACAUUCAGGUCCACCAGUUUCAGCUAUUUCUCUCUGCUCUAUAUCUCUAUCCUUUCUCUUCAAACUCUCUAGAAAUACUUCAAACUCUUUCAGAAGUUUCUAUUAGUAGAGUUAUAUUUCAAGCACUCUGAUCCUGGUCAGACUUCGGGCUGCCAGUCUACAAAAGAAUUUUCGGGAGCAAAUUGCUUCUGCUGAUCAGUCCAACUUGAAUAUUUGAGACUUUUGUUCUAUUAACUUUUCUUCAGAGGUGUUUUCUUUUUUAAAAGAAAAAUAUUUCCCUCCGAACAGAAAAGAGUUGAAAUUCCCAUUUGUGGGAUGGGGGAGGUUUCUAAAAAAAAUCAAGACGUUUCUAAAAACAACAACUUGAGCAAAUAUCUGAAAAAUGCUAGUAAAUUAAAAUAUUCACUCAAAAAUCAUUGUUUCAUCAUCAUUCUGUAUGUAUAUAACAUAUUUACUUUUUCUCUUCCCAUAUCACUCUUGGCUACCAGCAGUUUUUAUGAAAUCUUUGUUCUAUAUAAUUGUUUUUUUGUCAACUUUUCAAUUAACAAAGAGAAAAAAAGGAUGAUCUUUAAUAAUAUUACUUGCUUUUGACUUUUGAUAUAACAUUCUAAAAUUGUUGACACUGAAUAAUAAUGGAAAUAAAGAGUAAAAAGGGCUUAUUACUUGUGUGUAACUGCCUGAACGGACGCUAAGUGAUUUAUACAAUUGAUUUCAAAAUUUAAAUCUUUUUUAAAAAUACACUUUCAAGUAUGUUGGUUUUCAUCUUAUCUGUCUAAAUAUUAGGCUUCCGGGUUUAUACGUCCACUGAAAGUGGCUCGGAUUAACAGCAUUUAUUCUUGGUUCUCGGGAAAAAAUGACAUAACCUAAUUUCGUAUGUCUAAAAACACGAGUUGCAAAACAGCAUUUACGGUAAAUGUUUACAAACACAGCCUCACUUGACCUUCAAAACAACCCAGUGAAAUAUUAUCAUUAUUUACAAGGUGAGAAGUCUGAAGGUCAGAAGGCCCUCAUUCUGUAAACAUUGAUUAAGGUUUACAGGGCCGAGGAGAAGAAAUCUUCAGGGCGGCCAUUUGGCCCAAUCUGCAGGCUUAAAAGGGAUGUUCACUACAGCUGUUUUUAAGUGGAGAUUUUGUCUGUGGAAACAGGGUCUGUUCCUGUCUCUGAUACCAACUUCAACCUAGAAUCACUCUUCUGUUUUUUCUCAAAAAGCUACAUGGCUGUCAUUUCAGAAACUGUGAUGGUCACUCAGAGGUACUAGGAGAUGGCAAGCUGGUAGGGUUGCCAGAUAGAAUAUAGGACUCCCAGCUAAAUUUUAAUUUCAGAUAAACAAUGGGUCAUUUUUAAGUAUAAGUUUGUCCCAAUAUCUCAGACAUACUUAUAUUAAAAAUGAUCCAUUGUUUAUCUGAAGUUCAAUUUUAACUGGACGUCCUGUAAUUUUAAUUUGCUAAAUCUGGCAAUCCUAUAAGCUGGCUUUGUAGGCAAGAAGCAGUUGGUGGCCUGGUUCAAGCUUUAAGGAGAGUGAUUCUACUAAUAACACCAUGCGAGGCAGACAAAUGCAGAAGCCAAAGCUGGACUUUGCUGCUUGGGUUCAUUUUGUGGUUCCACUGCUUACCAGCUUACUUCACCUCCCUGAGGCUCAGUUCCCUCCUCCGCAAAACAGCAGAUAACAGUAUCUAUUUCCUUAGGAUUAUUGUGAGAAGUAAAUAAAAUAAUCCAGCAUAUCUUUCCCAUGAUAAAUGCUCGAUAAACUUUGUUUUUACGUUAUUUCCACAUAGUGCGUCCUCUUCCCAGAGAACACAGUCACAAUAAUCCUUUGAAUUAUCCAUAAUAUAUCUAUAUCUAUGUCUGUAUCUGUGUCUACAUCUGUAUCUACAUCUGUAGCUAUAUAUGGAGUUUCUUACCGGCCAGGACACUUGUAACUAGUAACUGCA
Equus caballus (horse) is the source of this 9829-nucleotide long non-coding RNA. The record is from Ensembl. Lineage: Eukaryota; Metazoa; Chordata; Mammalia; Perissodactyla; Equidae.